RNAcentral lists this long non-coding RNA (1072 nucleotides) under Felis catus (domestic cat). RNAcentral describes it as "lncRNA (ENSFCAG00000050060.1)". Lineage: Eukaryota; Metazoa; Chordata; Mammalia; Carnivora; Felidae. The record is from RNAcentral.
AUUCUUCACAGUAGGCUUUGAUGGCAAGACAUACCGAUGAGUUCAUAAUAUAAUCGGAUGGACACACACUGAAUUUGCUCACUACUUCCUCCAAGCAUAGAGAACGUCUAUCUCAGAAAGCUGGCUUUAGCUGUUUCUAUCCAGUUUCACAGCCACUGGGAGGGCCAGGGAGAGGGGGAUGCACAGGGAGCUUGAGCAAGCGAUGAAGGAAGUUGUGGCGGCCAAGACUGGCUUCUGUGGCAUCAGCAGUCACCUGGAAUGUAAACUUGACAACACUCUAGACGUGAACCAAAGAGGGACACGGGCAGACAGAGAAGGACGCAGAAAGGUUACUGCCUGUGCUCCCUUUCUGGAACAAACAAACAACAUUUGAGUUGCUUUGACAUGUUGGAGAAACUCCAGCAAAGCAGAAGAAUUCAAGAGAGAGGAAAACCGAGGGUGUGAGAAGCUGAAACUGACUAAGAACUUCAGGUACAGAAAUUUCGAGUAACAGCUGGGUCACAAGACAACCAACAUUGAAAUCCUCCAAGAGCUGAUUAGAAACUUGAAAAAAAUAAAAAGACGCACUGUUCAAGAAAGCCACUAUCUGAAAUAACACAGGCUGUUAACUCUAAAAUGAACUUGAGACCUGACAAAGCGGAAGGAGCAGCGUUUUUCAUGCGGACAAGGCCAGGCCGCCUUUGGUCAGUCCUGUGUUGGAGCCGAAACCAGAGGAGUCCUACCAGCUGGUCUGAAGGCAAUGACCGUGCGAUGCGGAAAGCAAAGGAUGGAGGCGAGAAGAAAGAAAAAUAUCAAAAAUAUGCUGGCUGGAAAACCACCCUCCUGCUACAAAAAAAAAACAAAAACAUGGGGCGCCUGGGUGGCGCAGUCGGUUGGGCGUCCGACUUCAGCCAGGUCACGAUCUCGCGGUCCGUGAGUUCGAGCCCCGCGUCGGCUCUGGGCUGAUGGCUCAGAGCCUGGAGCCUGUUUCCGAUUCUGUGUCUCCCUCUCUCUCUGCCCCUCUGCCGUUCAUGCUCUGUCUCUCUCUGUCCCAAAAAAUAAAUAAAGGUUGAAAAAAAAAAUAAAAAAAAAA